RNA transcript from Trachymyrmex septentrionalis, 1276 nucleotides. RefSeq lists it as uncharacterized. The transcript is spliced from 3 exons. Lineage: Eukaryota; Metazoa; Arthropoda; Insecta; Hymenoptera; Formicidae. The record is from RefSeq and is a predicted model, not a curated record.
UGCGAAUACUACUCGCGCGAGCAGUCAGCCAGUCACGUACGUAACGCGGCACCAUCGUGAGGUCCACGUUUUUCGUAUCUUCUUUCAUGAGGGGACAAGUUGAUUUCGUCAGCGACGCGUGAUUGACCUGAUCGACUCUCUCAUCUGUAAUCUCGUACUCUGCGACACGCUUCUUCUCAUAGCAAACGUGACGAACGUCGUGAAUAGUACGCCGAUAGUGUGACCGCGCGCGAAUUUCAGUGAAUAGCUCUUCCUCAAGCUCUUCCUCUCUCUCUCUCUCUCUUUCUCAUACACACACACACACACACUCUGCUGCUCCGGCCUGCUGCAUUAAAGCAGAUACGAAGCAAGUCCCCAGACGCUGAUCUCUCAUGACCGUCGAAAAUGCGCAUCCGAAAAAUUUCGCUUACACGUCUACGAUAGCCGCGAUUCAGUCCUCGGUCAUUGUCACCCGACCGUCCGUCUGCACGCAACGGAUCUGUUUUCAUUCUCCGAAACGCGCGUCAGCAACAGCAGCAGCAGCAGUCUCUCCUGGAUCCGGAUCUCUCUCGCUCGACUCCGUGUUUCGCGAACGCAUUUGAAAUUUGAAUCCGGCGCGGGGUGUGUGUCUCACGUCGACCAAUCGACAAGACUGUCACGGCGUUGCGGUCCAAUCGAUGAUCGCGCUGUCGGAGGCUCGACUUGUACACGGCGUGACGUAACGCCGUUUAAAAGGCGAGCCGCGUGGGACGCGCGAAUCAGUCGCACGACGCACGUUGCACCGUGUGCAUUGCUGGAGCUGAGGUAUCGUCGGAUUCCCAUCGGCAAGAAAGAGAAAGAGAGAGAGAGAGAGAGACUAAAGUGUACAUUGUCGGCGUGUCCCUUCCCUCCCUUCCUCUUUCGCUCUUCCUCUCCUCCUUCUUCUUCUGUCGCUUUCUCCUCUGCUUCCCGGUUCCUCUUUCCUCGGUUUCCAUCCCACGUAUGCCGGAGGUUUCAUCGUCCAGCAUCGGUGGCUACAAUUAGACCAGGCACGAGAUCCCGUUGCUGAUCCAUUACGCUCUUGAGGGAUAAUUUUAUGCGCGACGAGCUGGCGCGCGAUCAGGAGCGGAGCGAUCACGCAGGCUGAAGGAAAACCUUUUAACGCAACGGUGCCUACGUUACGACUGUCUCACUGGGAGAUUGGAAAGACACGCGAAGGUUAACUUGCGUGCUUCCCGAGAGAUGCGGCCUCGCUGUUGGAGCUGAGACCGUCUCGUCGGCUGCGAAAAUUCGUGGGCCCACAUCCGAAAUCGAUCAC